UACAGAGGGGGCAAGCGUUGUUCGGAAUUACUGGGCGUAAAGGGCGCGUAGGCGGCCUUCUAAGUCGAACGUGAAAUCCCCGGGCUCAACCCGGGAACUGCGUCCGAUACUGGAAGGCUUGAAUCCGGGAGAGGGAUGCGGAAUUCCAGGUGUAGCGGUGAAAUGCGCAGAUAUCGGGAGGAACACCCGUAGCGAAGGCGGCACUCUGGGCCGUGACUGACGCUGAGGAGCGAAAGCGUGGGGAGCAACCAGG
This 253-nucleotide ribosomal RNA is filed under the name uncultured bacterium. Its description in RNAcentral is "partial 16S ribosomal RNA". It matches the Rfam family "Bacterial small subunit ribosomal RNA", at positions 524 to 776 of the family's 1533-position model. The record is from RNAcentral.